GCGCUUUCACCGCCGCGGCCCGGGUUCAAUUCCCGGUCAGGGAAAUGAGAUUUAGAGUUUGGAAUUUACAGAUCCAACUUUUAAUUCAAGCCAAACUGCAGAUGUUAUGGAAUUCCAGAUCCAACUUUUAAUUCAAGCCAAACUGCAGAUGUUUUUAAGUUUUCGACUUAAAUUAAGACUUCAUUGGCAUCAUCAUAGUCCCUGAUGGUCUAGUGGCUAGGAUUUGGCGCUUUCACCGUCGCGGCCCGGGUUCAAUUUCCGGUCAGGGAAAUGAGAUUUGGAGUUUGGAAUUCCAGAUCCAACUUUUAAUUCAAGCCAAACUGCAGAUGUUUUUAAACCAUUCGACUUAAACUAUGACUUCAUUUGCAUAAUUGUGUCCCUGAUGGUCUAGUGGCUAGGAUUUGGCGCUUUCACCGCCGCGGCCCGGGUUCAAUUCCCGGUCACGGAAAUGAGAUUUAGAGUUUGGAAUUCCGGAUCCAACUUUUAAUUCAAGCCAAAUUGCAGAUGUUAUGGAAUUCCCGAACCCACUUUUAAUUCAAGACAAACUGCAGAUGUUUUUAAAGUUUUCGACUUCUUUUAAGACUUCAUUUGCAUAAUUGUGUCCCUGAUGGUCUAGUGGCUAGGAUUUGGCGCUUUCACAAAUGUGGCCCGGGUUCAAUUUCCGGUCAGGGAAGUCAGAUAUAAAGUGUUAAAUUCCUGGUCAGGGAAUUCAAGCUUUAACUUUUAAUUCAAGCCAAACUGCAGAUGUUUUUAAUGUAUUCGACUUAAACUAUGACUUCAUUUGCAUAAUUGUGUCCCUGAUGGUCUAGUGGCUAGGAUUUGGCGCUUUCACCGCCGCGGCCCGGGUUCAAUUCCCGGUCAGGGAAAUGAGAUUUAGAGUUUGGAAUUCCAGAUCCAACUUUUAAUUCAAGCCAAACUGCAGAUGUUAUGGAAUUCCAGAUCCAACUUUUAAUUCAAGCCAAACUGCAGAUGUUUUUAAUGUAUUCGACUUAAACUAUGACUUCAUUUGCAUAAUUGUGUCCCUGAUGGUCUAGUGGCUAGGAUUUGGCGCUUUCACCGCCGCGGCCCGGGUUCAAUUCCCGGUCAGGGAAAUGAGAUUUAGAGUUUGGAAUUUACAGAUCCAACUUUUAAUUCAAGCCAAACUGCAGAUGUUAUGGAAUUCCAGAUCCAACUUUUAAUUCAAGCCAAACUGCAGAUGUUUUUAAAGUUUUUGACUUAAACUAUGACUUAAUUUGCAUAAUCAUGUCCCUGAUGGUCUAGUGGCUAGGAUUCGGCGCUCUCACCGCCGCGGCCCGGGUUCAACUCCCGGUCAGGGAAAUCAGAUUUAGAUUGUUAAAUUCCAGUUCAGGGAAUUCUAACUCUUAAUUCAAGCCAAACUGCAGAUGUUUUUAAAGUAUUCGACUUAAACUAUGACUUCAUUUGUAGAGUUAUGUCCCUGAUGGUCUAGUGGCUAUGAUUUGGCGCUUUCACCGUCGUGGCCCGGUUCUAUUCCCGGUCAGGAAAAAAGAUACAAAGUUUUAAAUUCCUGGUCAGGGAAUUCCAGCUCUAACUUUAAAUUUAAGCCAAACUGCAGAUGUUUAUAAAGUAAAAGUAAUUUGCAUAAUUGUCUCCCUGAUCCCCGGUCUAGUGGCUAGGAUUUGGCG
Molecule: long non-coding RNA, 1643 nt
Organism: Gasterosteus aculeatus aculeatus (three-spined stickleback)
Lineage: Eukaryota; Metazoa; Chordata; Actinopteri; Perciformes; Gasterosteidae
Source: Ensembl